UAUUCGUUAAAUUUUUUUUUAAAACAAAAGGGAAAUUUUUAGAUUUUGGAUUACUCCACUCCCUCCAGCCCUAUCUCAAAUCUUUGCCUUCACAACCACCCUCUCUCUCUAGCAUCACGCUUCCCCAUCUCUCUCUAUGAUCUUGAAUUCUCCCAUCUUUCUCUUUCUACACAUUCUCUCUAAUCUUGCUGACCAACUCUACCUGGAAAAAAUCUGUGUUUUUUACCAGUGAUCACAACAACCUCUUAUGGCUCUCCAAACUGUUCGAAGUAAUGUCGCAUGGUAUCUCUUUGUGUUGCAUUGCGGACCCUCCAGCAAAAAUCUUGUAGAGGUUCUAGAUCAUACCAAGGUAAAGAUGGAGCCAAAGAUGUACUGCGAUGGUAAACAUGAUUUUCAAAUGCUUAUCUGUGUUCCCAGAGAGAGAGAGAGCAUUCACAUAUAUCAUGUUUAUGGCCUACUUGCAGACGAACAGUGAAGAUGGAUGCAUCAAUGAGUGCAAUAGUUUGUGACAGUCAAAGUGCUUAAUAUUGUUUUGGCAUUUAAAGUUUCAAAUUCAAGAUUGUAUCAAUUGUGAAAGAUUCUUCAAGCUUCUAUUUUAUCAAAAGUAUUUGGAGGAGCAAAGUUUUCAGUUAUUUUCUCAGAGUACAAAGCUCAAGAAGAUAUGCACUUGACAUCCAAAGUACAAAAGAGAGCCAUAUGUAAUAUUUAUUUUGUAUAGAAGAAUAAAAGUCUUCUAAUGGAAGUAGAUACAUGUAACUUGUUGUAUGACCCUAGUCGAUUGUGAAUCUCUAGGAGGUGACAAUGGGUAUAUCUACAUGCAAUGCAAUUGCUCAAAUUUUAUAUGAGCAGUAUUAAUGGCAA
This is a non-coding RNA of Amborella trichopoda, 861 nucleotides long. The record is from RefSeq and is a predicted model, not a curated record. NCBI's taxonomy places the organism in Eukaryota, Viridiplantae, Streptophyta, Magnoliopsida, Amborellales, Amborellaceae.